GGUUCGGGUCUCACGUAGUGAGACAACGGAGCCGCUUGCGGCGACGGCCCGAAGGGCGAGCGAAGCGAGUCAUCCUGCACGACCCACCA
Molecule: small RNA, 89 nt
Filed under: Salmonella enterica
Lineage: Bacteria; Pseudomonadati; Pseudomonadota; Gammaproteobacteria; Enterobacterales; Enterobacteriaceae
Description: partial RtT sRNA
Rfam family: RtT RNA
About the family: This family represents a bacterial cis-regulatory element known as RtT RNA. The exact function of RtT is unknown although it is thought that it may be involved in changing the cellular response in relation to amino acid starvation.
Source: RNAcentral